ACCUGGCUGGCUCAGUCAGUAGAGCAUAUGACUUGAUCUUAGGGUUGUGAGUUCGAGCCCCAUGCUGGGUG
RNAcentral lists this transfer RNA (71 nucleotides) under Ailuropoda melanoleuca (giant panda). It matches the Rfam family "tRNA". From Rfam's summary of the family: Transfer RNA (tRNA) molecules are approximately 80 nucleotides in length. Their secondary structure includes four short double-helical elements and three loops (D, anti-codon, and T loops). Lineage: Eukaryota; Metazoa; Chordata; Mammalia; Carnivora; Ursidae. The record is from Rfam by way of RNAcentral.